UGGAGGAAAGCAGGGGAUCGUAAGACCUUGCGCUUUUGGAGCGGCCGAUGUCUGAUUAGCUAGUUGGUGGGGUAAUGGCCUACCAAAGCUUCGAUCAGUAGCUGGUCUGAGAGGACGGCCAGCCACACUGGGACUGAGACACGGCCCAGACUCCUACGGGAGGCAGCAGUGGGGAAUUUUGGACAAUGGGCGCAAGCCUGAUCCAGCCAUGCCGCGUGAGUGAAGAAGGCCUUCGGGUUGUAAAGCUCUUUCAGCCGGGAAGAAGAGGCUGCGACUAAUAAUCGCAGUUCAUGACGGUACCGGAAGAAGAAGCACCGGCUAACUACAUGCCAGCAGCCGCGGUAAUACGUAGGGUGCGGGCGUUAAUCGGAAUUACUGGGCGUAAAGGGUGCGCAGGCGGUUUUGUAAGUCAGAUGUGA
Molecule: ribosomal RNA, 419 nt
Filed under: uncultured ammonia-oxidizing beta proteobacterium
Lineage: Bacteria; Pseudomonadati; Pseudomonadota; Betaproteobacteria
Description: bacterial SSU rRNA
Rfam family: Bacterial small subunit ribosomal RNA
Source: RNAcentral